This is a long non-coding RNA of Lepus europaeus (European hare), 2405 nucleotides long. RefSeq lists it as uncharacterized. The transcript has 4 exons. Lineage: Eukaryota; Metazoa; Chordata; Mammalia; Lagomorpha; Leporidae. The record is from RefSeq and is a predicted model, not a curated record.
AGAGCUGCGGGAGCGGCGCGCGGAAUGCUGGGAUAGCGGAGGUCCGCCGAGCGCGUCCUGCGGGCUUAGCUGUCCCAGACAGUUCAUAGCGUCUACCAAACCCUGUGCAUCAAACAUGAUAGACGAGGCCAUUUUCCUCAGGAGCUCCUAGUCCAUGCAGAGACGUGUAAACAAGUUGUUGGGAGAAUUAAAUGAGCUACUGCAGAUAAAACAUUCAGCAGGGUGCCUGGCAUCUGACACAGAAUAAUGUAGUUUGAAGUAGAAAGGAGGACGAUAGUGCCAGCCCUGCCCGUCAGCAAUGUGGAAACUCCUCAAAGCUGGAAGAAAAGCUGACUGUGGUUUCCAACAGCUCAGUGUUUGUCACAAGAAGUCCUGAACAUUCGCUGUGCUCAGGACUCUAGAACUCUGUCUGCCUUCUCUAACCAGAACACAGCCAAUUGCUGUAGCUUCUUGCUGAGUGCUCACAGAUCUUGAAGGUCUUUAGAACAGUGGACAUGGGGCUGAUGCUGUGGCAUAUCAGGUAAAGCUGCUGCCUGCAAUGCCAUCAUCCCUUUUGGGCCCCAGUUUGAAUCCCGGCUGCUCCACUUCUGAUCCAGCUCUCUGCUAUGACCUGGGAAAGCAGUAGAAGAUGGCCCAAGUCCUUGGGCUCCUGCACCCGUGUGGGAGACCCGGAAGAAGUUCCUGGCUCCUGGCUUUGGAUCAGCACAGCUCCGGCCGUUGUGGCCAACUGGGGAGUGAAACAGCGGAUGGAAGGAAGACCUCUCUCUCUCUGCCUCUCCUCUCUCUGUAUAACUCUGACUUUCAAAUAAAUAAAUAAAUCUUAAAAAAAAAAAAAAAACAGUUGACACUAAGUAUGCAGGCAGAGUCUGUACACUUGGAGCUAGCUCUGAAUCUACUGUGAUAAAUGUUUGGAGGGUGUUUUUAGCAAGAAGGUUUAAUGCAAGAUCUGCCCUCUUAACAAAUUUUUCAAUGUACAACACAGUAUUGUUAACAAUAGCUCCCAUGUUUACAGCAGAUUUCUACAAUGUGUUCAUCCUAUAUACCUGAAACUUUAUACCUACUGCACAACUCCCAGUUCCCAUGCCCACAGCCCCUGACAACCACCAUUCUGUUCUCUGUUUCCAUUGGACUAUUCUAGAAACCUCAUAUACGUGGACUCACUCAGUGGUUGCCCUGUGACUGAUCAUUUCACUUAGAAUAAUGUCUUCAGGGCCAGUGUGGCACAGUGGGUUAAGCUACCACUUGUGUUGCCUGCAUCCCACUUUGGAGUGCCAAUUGGAGCUGCCGUGGUUCCACUUCCAAUCCAGCUUCCUGCUGAAGUGCCUGGGGAGGCAGGAGAGGAUGACCCAAGUGCUUGCACCCCUGCCUUCCAUGUGGGAGGCCAGGUUGGAGUUCCUGGCUUCUAGCUUCAGCUUGGCCAAGACCUGGCUGUGUGGCCAUUCAGGGAGUGAGCUUCAGGUGGAAGCCUCUCUCUCUCUCUCUCUCUCUCUGCCUUUCAAAUAACUAACCAUCUAACUAAAGAUAUAUAUCCUUUUUAAAAAAAAUCUUCCAUGUUAUCACACAUGGCAGGACUUCCUUUUUUUAAAGGCUGAAUAAUAUUCAUACACACACACACACACACUGCAUUUUUUUUUUUAUCCAUUUAUCAGUCAGUGGACAUUUAGGUAGUUUCUGUGUCUUGGGCAUUGUGAAUAAUGCUGCAAUAAACAAGGAUGGGCAUGUAGAUAUCUUCUCUGAAUUCUGACUUCAGCUCCUUUGGAUAUAUAUCUAGAUGUUGGAUAAUUGGAUCAUGUACUAGUUCUAUUUUUAACUUUUUGAAGAACCUCCAUACUGUUUUCCAUAGAGGCUGUGCCAUUUUAUACUUCUACUAACAGAGUUUAGGGGUUCUAAUAUCUCAACAUCCUCAUCAGUACUUGUUAUCUUUUUGAAAAAACAAUCAUUCUAACCAGUGUUAAGUAUCAUCAUGAUUUUGAAUUGUAUUUCUGUGAUGGUUAGUAAUGUUGAAAAUGUUUUCAUUCAUAUAUUGACUAUUUGGAUGUCUUCUUUGGUGAAAUAUCUAUUAAAGUCAGCUGUUCAUUUUUUUAAUGGAGAUUCUUGAGUAUUUUGCUGUUGAGUUGUAGCAGUCCCUUUAGUAUGUUGGAUAGUGAUCCCUUACAAAAUACAUGAUUUACAAAUAUUUUCUCCUGUUCCACAGUCUUCCUUUGGUAUAGUCCCACGUGUCUGUUUUUGCUUUUGUUGACUGUAGUUUUGGAGUCUUAGCCAAAAAUCUAUCGCCUAGACCAGUGUCACGAAGCUUCUUCCUCUGUGUUUUCCUCUAGAAGUUCUAGUGUCAGGCCUUAAAUUUAAACCUUUAAUUCAUAUGAGGUUGAUUUCUGUGUAUAAUAUGUUUAAUGGUUUGGUUUAUG